Molecule: small RNA, 290 nt
Filed under: Acetobacteraceae bacterium AT-5844
Lineage: Bacteria; Pseudomonadati; Pseudomonadota; Alphaproteobacteria; Acetobacterales; Acetobacteraceae
Description: 5' ureB small RNA
Rfam family: 5' ureB small RNA
Source: Rfam by way of RNAcentral
CUUCCUCGAUCUGCUGCGGGCAAAUGAAGUGGAUAUGCGGGUCGAUGCCGCCAGCGGUCAGGAUGCGCCCCUCGCAGGCGAUGAUUUCUGUUCCUGGGCCGAUGACGAUGUCCACGCCCGGCUGCGUGUCCGGGUUGCCGGCCUUGCCAAUGGCGGCGAUGCGGCCGUCCUUCAGCCCGACAUCGGCCUUGAUGAUCCCCCAAUGGUCGAUGAUCAGCGCAUUGGUGAUGACGGUAUCCAUCGCGCCCUGCUCGCGGGUGCGCUGGCUCUGCCCCAUGCCGUCGCGGAUG